RNAcentral lists this ribosomal RNA (253 nucleotides) under uncultured bacterium. RNAcentral describes it as "partial 16S ribosomal RNA". It matches the Rfam family "Bacterial small subunit ribosomal RNA", at positions 524 to 776 of the family's 1533-position model. The record is from RNAcentral.
UACGUAGGGGGCUAGCGUUGUCCGGAAUCAUUGGGCGUAAAGCGCGCGUAGGCGGAUCUGCAAGUCGGGGGUGAAAUCCCGAGGCUCAACCUCGGAACUGCCUUCGAUACUGCGGGUCUCGAGUCCGGGAGAGGUGAGUGGAAUUCCUAGUGUAGAGGUGAAAUUCGUAGAUAUUAGGAAGAACACCAGUGGCGAAGGCGGCUCACUGGCCCGGUACUGACGCUGAGGCGCGAAAGCGUGGGGAGCAAACAGG